This 386-nucleotide long non-coding RNA is filed under the name Piliocolobus tephrosceles (Ugandan red Colobus). Its description in RNAcentral is "lncRNA (ENSPTEG00000001155.1)". Lineage: Eukaryota; Metazoa; Chordata; Mammalia; Primates; Cercopithecidae. The record is from RNAcentral.
GGCUCCCUAACCAAUCAAAGUCCCCCGAAGGGGCGGAGUUUUCCUCGGAUUGGCUCUAAGCCUCGGGGGUAAAAAUAAAGUGUUUCCAUUCCCAGCCAAUCCCUGGAAAGGCAGAAGGGCACUCCUCCAAUGGGAGCCGGGGAGCCGUCUGUAGCGGCAUAGGCCCGUGCCGUGUCCCUGCUCGCGCUGCAGCCCGUGGAAGAGUUGCGUCCAGUGUAUCCUCCAGAUCUUGCGAUAGGCGUCUCGUAACUGUGCGCGCGCGGCAGGGGCAGCGGCGGCGACGGCCGGAGGUGUACGGUCAGCGGGUUGCGGAGGAUCGUGCGGGUAGCAAAGGGAGGCCGAGUGCUCCUGCGGCUCCCAGACGGCAACCGGGAACUAACCUGUCA